RNAcentral lists this long non-coding RNA (267 nucleotides) under Physcomitrium patens. RNAcentral's name for it is "long non-coding RNA (PPAT_LNC009823)". The record is from RNAcentral. Lineage: Eukaryota; Viridiplantae; Streptophyta; Bryopsida; Funariales; Funariaceae.
UGAACAAACGCGCCCCUAGUCUUGACAAUACGUCGAUUUUGCUUCUUGGGAUAGUUUCCAACUUUGUGGCCUUCUUCACCGCAAUACAAGCAUAGACCUUCCUCCAUACGCCACUUUUUUUCUUCUAGGGUAAGAGAUUUCACACGUACCGCAUCAAUUUGCAUGUCUUCUACCUUUGAAUGUAUAUUCACGCUGCUUGCCAACAUAGUUGGGGCGUGGCGAACCAUAUGUUGUCUUGAACGUUGGUCUUGGCAGUGUUGGAAUAGG